CAAUAGCAUAUAUUAACGUUGUUGCAGUUGAAAAGCUCGUAGUUGAACUUUUGGUAGGAGCGACCUGGCCUUGGGCGCAUGCCCUUGUUUGCCGUGUGUCGUAUCUGGCCAUCCUUUUCCGCUUCGGCGGGUAUCCUUUACUGUGAGUAAACUGGAGUGCUCAAAACAAGACGUUUGUUUGGUACAUUAAAGCAUGGAAUAAUAAGAUAGGACCUGGUUACUAUUUUGUUGGUUUGCAUAGCUAGGUAAUGAUUAACAGGGACAGUUGGGGGUAUUCGUAUUUAAUUGUCAGAGGUGAAAUUCUUGGAUUUAUGAAAGACGAACGACUGCGAAAGCAUUUACCAAGGAUGUUUUCAUUAA
Molecule: ribosomal RNA, 360 nt
Filed under: uncultured eukaryote
Lineage: Eukaryota
Description: partial 18S ribosomal RNA
Rfam family: Eukaryotic small subunit ribosomal RNA
Source: RNAcentral